This 497-nucleotide ribosomal RNA is filed under the name uncultured bacterium. Its description in RNAcentral is "partial 16S ribosomal RNA". It matches the Rfam family "Bacterial small subunit ribosomal RNA", at positions 28 to 507 of the family's 1533-position model. The record is from RNAcentral.
GACGAACGCUGGCGGCGUGCCUAAUACAUGCAAGUUGAGCGCUGAAGGUUGGUACUUGUACCAACUGGAUGAGCAGCGAACGGGUGAGUAACGCGUGGGGAAUCUGCCUUUUAGCGGGGGACAACAUUUGGAAACGAAUGCUAAUACCGCAUAAAAACUUUAAACACAAGUUUUAAGUUUGAAAGAUGCAAUUGCAUCACUCAAAGAUGAUCCCGCGUUGUAUUAGCUAGUUGGUGAGGUAAAGGCUCACCAAGGCGAUGAUACAUAGCCGAGCUGAGAGGGUGGUCGACCACAUUGGGAAUGGGACACGGCCCAAACUCCUAAGGGAAGCAGCAGUAGGGAAUCUUCGGAAAAGGACGGAAGGCUGACCGAGCAAAGACGCGUGAGUGAAGAAGGGUUUCGGAUCGUAAAACUCUGUUGGUAGAGAAGAAAGUUGGUGAGAGUGGAAAGCUCAUCAAGUGACGGUAACUACACAGAAAGGGACGGCUAACUACGUG